Molecule: ribosomal RNA, 512 nt
Filed under: uncultured bacterium
Lineage: Bacteria
Description: partial 16S ribosomal RNA
Rfam family: Bacterial small subunit ribosomal RNA
Source: RNAcentral
GAUGAACGCUGGCGGCAUGCCUAAUACAUGCAAGUCGAACGAGAGGAAGGAAAGCUUGCUUUUCUGAAUCUAGUGGCGAACGGGUGAGUAACACGUAGGUAACCUGCCCAUGUGCCCGGGAUAACUUCUGGAAACGGAUGCUAAAACCGGAUAGGUAGCAGACAAGCAUUUGACUGCCAUUAAAGUGGCUAAGGCCAUGAACAUGGAUGGACCUGCGGUGCAUUAGCGAGUUGGUGAGGUAACGGCCCACCAAGGCGACGAUGCAUAGCCGGCCUGAGAGGGCGAACGGCCACAUUGGGACUGAGACACGGCCCAAACUCCUACGGGAGGCAGCAGUAGGGAAUUUUCGUCAAUGGGGGGAACCCUGAACGAGCAAUGCCGCGUGAGUGAGGAAGGUCUUCGGAUCGUAAAGCUCUGUUGUAAGAGAAAAACGACAUUCAUAGGGAAUGAUGAGUGAGUGAUGGUAUCUUACCAGAAAGUCACGGCUAACUACGUGCCAGCCGCCGCGGUAA